GUUUGAUUGCCGUGGAUCACAAGUCUCUCUUAUUCUCCCUGGACUGUGGGUCUCGGUUCUGGACAUUUUUUUUUAAUGCAGGAAGUUGUCUCAAGAAACAACCUGUUCCAAACAAAAAAAAGACAUCAGAACAAUCAAAGGGUUUGUCGACAUUAAAACGACUUUUUUCAAUGGAUUUCUGAGGUGCAUCCGUAGUUCUACAUUAUAAGUGCGGUGCAGUUAGAAACAAUGAUUGCCCAAGUGAGGAGAGCAUGGGUUGAAAGCAUCGCAAAGAAUGCGAAGAAUAACAAUGGUUUUCUUGUGUGCUCACCAACGACGCAACUGUGUAGAGAGAGAAAAUACCUUGUAUUGUAAUCAGUAUUGAAACUAUAUUUUUCGAAAUUUUUUUAAGGU
Molecule: non-coding RNA, 393 nt
Organism: Amborella trichopoda
Lineage: Eukaryota; Viridiplantae; Streptophyta; Magnoliopsida; Amborellales; Amborellaceae
Source: RefSeq, a predicted model, not a curated record